UACGUAGGGGGCGAGCGUUGUCCGGAUUUAUUGGGCGUAAAGAGCGUGUAGGCGGCCAGGUAGGUCUGCUGUGAAAACUCGAGGCUCAACCUCGAGACGUCGGCGGAAACCAUCUGGCUAGAGUCCGGAAGAGGAGAGUGGAAUUCCUGGUGUAGCGGUGAAAUGCGCAGAUAUCAGGAGGAACACCGAUGGCGAAGGCAGGUCUCUGGGCCGAUACUGACGCUGAGGAGCGAAAGCGUGGGGAGCGAACAGG
This 253-nucleotide ribosomal RNA is filed under the name uncultured bacterium. RNAcentral describes it as "partial 16S ribosomal RNA". It matches the Rfam family "Bacterial small subunit ribosomal RNA", at positions 524 to 776 of the family's 1533-position model. The record is from RNAcentral.